UUAAAUUUAUUAUUGGGUUAUAAUCACUAAUAUUUUAUUUUAGAGAGGUCCUGUGACGUAGAGGUUAAAUGCCAAAUCUCUGAAAUCUCAUUGUGUUGAGUUCAAACCCCAGUCUCUGUUAUCUAACUUCUGGGUCUGCUUCCUCAACUGUAAAAUGGAGAUAGGUGGGUUUUCUCAGCUCAUAGGAAAGGAGUAGUAAAAAGUUAGUAGGAACUAACACUAAUGUUCUGAUGUGCAAGUUGUUAAAAUACUCGACCCUUCCUUGACUCUGACUCUUCUUCCUCAUGACCUAGCCACUCAAAGGGAAUAAUAUGUGGCACAAAAAGAGAAUCUUUAGGACUGUGCUUCAGCAUAGCCUAGCUCUGGCAUCCUUCUGAUGGAUUGAUGACUAUUCUAUACCUGCUGUUAAAUAUUCGGAAUAUAAUGUUUUCAGUCCCACUUCUCACUAUUGACCUUCCUUGUACAACGGUCACUGAACUGGCGCCUCUCUGGGGUUCUGCCCAGAAGAUUAGCCUUCCUCUUUCGCUGCAGCCCCCCUAUCAGGAGGCUACGCAUUGAUGUAGAGGAAUGAAACUGGAAGCAAAGAAGUGAAUGCGACAGCAUCCUUUUUGUUUUAUCAUCUUCCCCUCUCUCUCUAGUAGUCAGGGUACAAGGCAGUGAAUUCAGACCAAAAUCUUGGGCUUUACAGUAUCUUUUGUUAAUUCUCUUGAGAUAUUUAUUAUGUCCAUUAAACUACCCAAUACAUUUUGGUAUG
Long non-coding RNA from Molossus molossus (Pallas's mastiff bat), 754 nucleotides. RefSeq lists it as uncharacterized. The transcript has 3 exons. NCBI's taxonomy places the organism in Eukaryota, Metazoa, Chordata, Mammalia, Chiroptera, Molossidae. The record is from RefSeq and is a predicted model, not a curated record.